AUUGAACGCUGGCGGCAGGCCUAACACAUGCAAGUCGAGCGGAGCGGCGGAAGGGUGAGGAAUGCCUAGGAAUCCGCCUGGUAGUGGGGGAUAACGUCCGGAGACGGGCGCUAAUACCGCAUACAAUCAGCUGAGCCUAGGUCGGAUUAGCUAGUUGGUGGGGUAACGGCUUACCAAGGCGAAGAUCCGUAAAUGGUCUGAGAGGAUGAUCAGUCACACUGGAACUGAGACACGGUCCAGAGUCCUACGGGAGGCAGCAGUGGGGAAUCUGGGACAAUGGGCGAAAGCCUGAUCCAGCCAUGCCGAGUGUGUGAAGAAGGUCUUCGGAUUGUAAAGCACUUUAAGUUGGGAAGCGUUACCAAAAGAAUAAGCACCGGCUAACUUCGUGCCAGCAGCCGCGGUAAUAC
RNAcentral lists this ribosomal RNA (407 nucleotides) under uncultured bacterium. Its description in RNAcentral is "partial 16S ribosomal RNA". It matches the Rfam family "Bacterial small subunit ribosomal RNA", at positions 30 to 526 of the family's 1533-position model. The record is from RNAcentral.